CUCCAUCCGCCCAUUUUAAGUGCAACCAUAAGUUUCCGCACUCAACUAACUUUGAUCAUCCGUCUUAUUUGAAAUUUUUUUAUAAUUAGUAUUUUUGCUGUUAUGAGAUGAUAAAACAUGAAUAACACUUUACUUGUGACUUAUGUUGGGAGCGUUCAAAUAAGACGGACGUUCAAAGUUGGAAGCGAAAAACCAUGGCUGCACUUAAAAUGGGACAUAGGGAGUAAAAA
RNAcentral lists this microRNA precursor (230 nucleotides) under Oryza sativa (Asian cultivated rice). RNAcentral describes it as "partial microRNA MIR438e-8 precursor". The stretch from base 15 to 209 matches the Rfam family "MIR812 microRNA precursor family". The record is from RNAcentral. Lineage: Eukaryota; Viridiplantae; Streptophyta; Magnoliopsida; Poales; Poaceae.